AUUGAACGCUGGCGGCAGGCUUAACACAUGCAAGUCGAGCGGAGAUGAGGUGCUUGCACCUUAUCUUAGCGGCGGACGGGUGAGUAAUGCUUAGGAAUCUGCCUAUUAGUGGGGGACAACAUUCCGAAAGGAAUGCUAAUACCGCAUACGUCCUACGGGAGAAAGCAGGGGAUCUUCGGACCUUGCGCUAAUAGAUGAGCCUAAGUCGGAUUAGCUAGUUGGUGGGGUAAAGGCCUACCAAGGCGACGAUCUGGAGCGGGUCUGAGAGGAUGAUCCGCCACACUGGGACUGAGACACGGCCCAGACUCCUACGGGAGGCAGCAAUGGGGAAUAUUGGACAAUGGGGGGAACCCUGAUCCAGCCAUGCCGCGUGUGAAGAAGGCCUUAUGGUUGUAAAGCACUUUAAGCGAGGAGGAGGCUACUGAGACUAAUACUCUUGGAUAGUGGACGUUACUCGCAGAAUAAGCACCGGCUAACUCUGUGCCAGCCGCCGCGGUAA
RNAcentral lists this ribosomal RNA (499 nucleotides) under uncultured bacterium. Its description in RNAcentral is "partial 16S ribosomal RNA". It matches the Rfam family "Bacterial small subunit ribosomal RNA", at positions 30 to 523 of the family's 1533-position model. The record is from RNAcentral.